Molecule: long non-coding RNA, 397 nt
Filed under: Pongo abelii (Sumatran orangutan)
Lineage: Eukaryota; Metazoa; Chordata; Mammalia; Primates; Hominidae
Description: lincRNA
Source: RNAcentral
UCCCCCCUGAGUUGGUAAAAUUAGAAACUGCUGGAGUUUGGAUUCUGCACUGUGUUGUCCUGUGAAGAUCCUGGUGUGCCUGCAAUUGUCUUCCUCCUUAGGUUUUUCAAGAGGAUGCUUUAAGAAGAAAGAGGAAAAAAAGUGGAUCAAGUGCUUACUUAGUUUUCCUUCAGGAAGACUCACUUGCUCCAAAACAGUCACACACACACACACACAGACACGCAGACACACACACACACACACACACAGACACACACACACACACACACCACAUUGCAGCAGCACUGAAUGUCCAUGCUUUACUUUUCUUUGCUUGUCAGAUGCCUAUGACAGUGCUUAACAAAUAUUUCCUGGAAUUAAUCUAAUCUUUGUUAAGAAUUUUCCCAAAGAACCUUUU